UGUAGAAUUCGUAAAAAAACUCACAAACAUAUUUCGGGGGAGGGGGAGGGUCACAAUCCCCCUCCCUGGUUGCACCACUGAUCGUUUAUGAUUAUCCUUUCCUACUCCUCUAGCCUAAAUUUCAAAUGGUUAUAACUCAUUAAUGAUAAAUCUGAUAUUAGUGUUAUAUAUAUAUACAAAUUUCUAGAAAAAUAUUCUCUAUUCAAAUCUGUUUUCUAAAAGGGGGUUCUUAUUUGAAUUACCAAAGUAGGUAUAAAUUUUAUACUUAUUUAAGGUAUAUUGAGUAGAGGUAAAAAU
Molecule: non-coding RNA, 297 nt
Organism: Cinara cedri
Lineage: Eukaryota; Metazoa; Arthropoda; Insecta; Hemiptera; Aphididae
Source: the annotation of a GenBank genome assembly